AAGUCGUAACAAGGUUUCCGUAGGUGAACCUGCGGAAGGAUCAUUAACACAAUACUUUCUAUUAUCAAUAACCUUCGUGAACCUGUCUGAGCCUUUCUUGGCGGGGGUCGUCUAGAUCAUGGUUUGGCAUGCGGUCUAGCCUGCUGUUAAGUUAGCCCGUCAAAAUGACUCCCCCUUCUUCUUCUUCGAAGAGGAAGCGCUGAGUGCUUUGACGAUCGGUCUAACGCCCCGUCUUUUUAGGUGAAACGGUCUCUACCAUGACUGUGCCCAAUUUUUUUUUUAACCUUUGAUUUCUUUGUACUGAUUUGGGCUGUCGUUGCGAUUGAGAGGAGCAAUCCUUUCUCCAAUCCAGCUUGUGUUGAAUGCUUUUUUAGUCAUUCACUCACUAACCAAAACACAACUCUUAACAGUGGAUAUCUCGGUUCUC
Molecule: unclassified non-coding RNA, 427 nt
Filed under: fungal sp.
Lineage: Eukaryota; Fungi
Description: partial internal transcribed spacer region
Rfam family: Eukaryotic small subunit ribosomal RNA (bases 1-46)
Source: RNAcentral